CAUUUUAUCCAAAACUCACAAGACUAGAUGAAUUUCAGAAUUCAGAUAUUUUUGGUAAUAAAGUAAAUUAUAUAAUAUAAAUGCUAUGCAUUAUAUAGUAAUCCUGAUGGGAUCUAGCAUAGGAUUCCAUGAUCAAAUAUAAAUAUUUCUACAGCUAAAUAAAUAUAUAACAAAUAAAGAUUUUUUGUAGCUGCCUAUCAGUUCAGGAUAGGUUUUUGUCACUAAUCCAUUAAAGUCAGCUCAGAUUUCCCCACCAAAUGAGGUUUUUUUUUUAAAUUUAAUUUAAAUUUUUUUUUCCCGCUGUACAGCAUGGGGAUCAAGUUACUCUUACAUGCAUACAUUUUUCCCCACCCUUUGUUCUGUUGCAAUAUGAGUAUCUAGACAUAGUUCUCAAUGCUACUCAGUAGGAUCUCCUUUUAAAUCUAUUCCAAGUUGUAUCUGAUAACCACAAGCUCCUGAUCCCUCCCACUCCCUCCCUCUCCCAUCUGGCAGCCACAAGUCUAUUCUCCAAGUCCAUGAUUUUAUUUUCUGUGGAGAUGUUCAUCUGUGCUGGUAUAUUAGAUUCCAGCUGUAAGUGAUAUCAUAUGGUAUUUGUCUUUGUUUUUCUGACUCAUUUCACUCAGCAUCAGAGUCUCUAGUUCCAUCCAUGUUGCUGCAAAUGGCAUUAUGUCGUUCUUUUUAUGGCUGAGUAGUAUUCCAUUGUGUAUAUAUACCACAUCUUCCUAAUCCAGUCAUCUGUUGAUGGACAUGUGGGUUGUUUCCAUGUCCUGGCUAUUGUGAAUAGUGCUGCAAUGCACAUGUGAGUGCAUGUGUCUCUUUUAAGUAGAGUUUUGUCCGGAUAGAUGCCCAAGAGUGGGAUUGCGGGUCAUAUGGAAGUUCUAUGUAUAGAUUUCUAAGGUAUCUCCAAACUGUUCUCCAUAGUGGCUGUACCAGUUUACAUUCCCACCAGCAGUGCAGGAGGGUUCCCUUUUCUCCACCCCCCUCCAGCACUUGCUAUUUGUGGACUUAUUAAUGAUGGCCAUUCUGACUGGUGUGAGGUGAUAUCUCAUGGUAGUUUUGAUUUGCAUUUCUCUUAUAAUCAGUGAUGUUGAGCAUUUUUUCAUGUGUUUGCUGGCCAUCUGUAUCUUUUCCUUGGAGAACAGUCUAUUCAGGUCUUUUGCCCACUUUUCCAUUGGGUGAUUGGCUUUUUUGCUGUUGAGUUGUGUAAGUUGCUUUUAUAUUCUAGCGAUUAAGCCCUUGUCCGUUGCAUCGUUUGAAACUAUUUUCUCCCAUUCUGUAAGUUGUCUUUUUGUUUUCUUUUGGGUUUCCUUUGCUGUGCAAAAGCUUUUCCAUUUGAUUAGGUCCCAUUAGUUUAUUUUUGCUUAUUUCUGUUGCUUUGGGAGACUGACUUGAGAAAAUAUUCAUGAGGUUGAUGUCAGAGAGUGUUUUGCCUAUAUUCUCUUCUAGGAGUUUGAUGGUGUCUUGUCUUAUAUUUAAGUCUUUCAGCCAUUUUGAGUUUAUUUUUGUGCAUGUUUUAAAAAAAUCCAGAUUCUUUGAGUAUGCAUAGAAUAUUUACAAACUCAGUCUGAGAGUUACUGAAAAGAAAUUCUUUCUUCCAUUAAGGCAUACCCAGUUGAAGAAGAAAUUCGAAGAAAAGAGCAAGAUUUUAUUUCCUUUAUUGUUUUCUAGUUCCUAUCUCUAUGCCUUACUGCACUUAGCAGCUGAAAGAUAUUUGUGUCCAAUAAUGUGGUUUGAUUUCUUUCCUUCCUCUCUCCCUCUUUCUGUCCCUCUCUCUCUUUUCCUUCCUUCCUUCCUUCCUUCCUUCCUUCCUUCCUUCCUUCCUUCCUUCCUUCCUUUCUUUUUUCUUUCCCCACACCAUAUGGAAGUUUAUGGGCUAGGGGUUAAAUCACAGCUGCAGCUGCUGCCUAUACCACAGCCACAGCAAUGAGGGAUCCAAGCCGCGUCUGCAACCUGCACCACAGCUCACGGCAACGCCGGAUCCUUAACCCACUGAGCGAGGCCAGGGGUCAAACCCUCAACUUCAGGGUUCCUGGUCGGAUUUGUUUCUUCUGUGCCACGACGAUGAGAACUCCAGAUAUCAUAAAUCUUUUAAACUUCAAAAACCAUCAGCUUUUUUUUCUUAACUAAUUAUAAUGGAAAUUUCUGGAUAUAUUCUAGAUAUAGUUCAUCUUUAAUUACUUUUUAAAAAAACAAUCUAGGCGCCUCCCAUUCAUACUUACUCAUAAUAUGCAGUAUUAUUUAUGUGUAUGCACUAAUAAAUACACUAUUAUUUAUGAACACUUACAAGAUUUGCUUUUAUCCAAAAAAUUUGUUAUUGGCACGUGGGGAUGUAUCAUAGGAUCAUACAGGAUGUUCAGAGAAAGCAUAAACUUUUUUCAACCUAGAGGUCUGAGAAAGGAGACUGUGACUUCAAUU
This 2415-nucleotide long non-coding RNA is filed under the name Sus scrofa (pig). Its description in RNAcentral is "lncRNA (ENSSSCG00000051498.1)". Lineage: Eukaryota; Metazoa; Chordata; Mammalia; Artiodactyla; Suidae. The record is from RNAcentral.